This 71-nucleotide transfer RNA is filed under the name Rattus norvegicus (Norway rat). It matches the Rfam family "tRNA". From Rfam's summary of the family: Transfer RNA (tRNA) molecules are approximately 80 nucleotides in length. Their secondary structure includes four short double-helical elements and three loops (D, anti-codon, and T loops). The record is from Rfam by way of RNAcentral. Lineage: Eukaryota; Metazoa; Chordata; Mammalia; Rodentia; Muridae.
GAGUUGGAAGUUUAGUGGUAGAAUGCUUGCCUCGCAUGCAGUAGGUCAUAGGUUCAAUCCUCACCACUUUA